RNAcentral lists this ribosomal RNA (433 nucleotides) under uncultured bacterium. Its description in RNAcentral is "partial 16S ribosomal RNA". It matches the Rfam family "Bacterial small subunit ribosomal RNA", at positions 29 to 507 of the family's 1533-position model. The record is from RNAcentral.
AACGAACGCUGGCGGCAUGCCUAACACAUGCAAGUCGAACGAGACCUUCGGGUCUAGUGGCGCACGGGUGCGUAACGCGUGGGAACCUGCCCUUAGGUUCGGAAUAACUCCCCGAAAGGGGUGCUAAUACCGGAUAAUGUCUUCGGACCAAAGAUUUAUCGCCUUUGGAUGGGCCCGCGUUGGAUUAGCUAGUUGGUAGGGUAAAAGCCUACCAAGGCGACGAUCCAUAGCUGGUCUGAGAGGAUGAUCAGCCACACUGGGACUGAGACACGGCCCAGACUCCUACGGGAGGCAGCAGUGGGGAAUAUUGGACAAUGGGCGAAAGCCUGAUCCAGCAAUGACGCGUGAGUGAUGAAGGCCUUAGGGUUGUAAAGCUCUUGUACCCGGGAUGAUAAUGACAGUACCGGGAGAAUAAGCUCCGGCUAACUCCGUG